GAUGAACGCUGGCGGCGUGCCUAAUACAUGCAAGUCGAGCGAACAGACGAGGAGCUUGCUCCUCUGACGUUAGCGGCGGACGGGUGAGUAACACGUGGAUAACCUACCUAUAAGACUGGGAUAACUUCGGGAAACCGGAGCUAAUACCGGAUAAUAUAUUGAACCGCAUGGUUCAAUAGUGAAAGACGGUUUUGCUGUCACUUAUAGAUGGAUCCGCGCCGCAUUAGCUAGUUGGUAAGGUAACGGCUUACCAAGGCAACGAUGCGUAGCCGACCUGAGAGGGUGAUCGGCCACACUGGAACUGAGACACGGUCCAGACUCCUACGGGAGGCAGCAGUAGGGAAUCUUCCGCAAUGGGCGAAAGCUUGACGGAGCAACGCCGCGUGAGUGAUGAAGGUCUUCGGAUCGUAAAACUCUGUUAUUAGGGAAGAACAAAUGUGUAAGUAACUACGCACGUCUUGACGGUACCUAAUCAGAAAGCCACGGCUAACUACGU
Molecule: ribosomal RNA, 496 nt
Filed under: uncultured bacterium
Lineage: Bacteria
Description: partial 16S ribosomal RNA
Rfam family: Bacterial small subunit ribosomal RNA
Source: RNAcentral